UAACGCGAUAAGUUGACCGCCUGGGGAGUACGGUCGCAAGAUUAAAACUCAAAGGAAUUGACGGGGACCCGCACAAGCGGUGGAUUAUGUGGAUUAAUUCGAUGCAACGCGAAAAACCUUACCUACCCUUGACAUGUCAGGAAGAUUGCAGAGAUGUGAUUGUGCCCGAAAGGGAACCUGAACACAGGUGCUGCAUGGCUGUCGUCAGCUCGUGUCGUGAGAUGUUGGGUUAAGUCCCGCAACGAGCGCAACCCUUGUCAUUAAUUGCCAUCAUUCAGUUGGGCACUUUAAUGAGACUGCCGGUGAUAAACCGGAGGAAGGUGGGGAUGACGUCAAGUCCUCAUGGCCCUUAUGGGUAGGGCUUCACACGUAAUACAAUGGUCGGUACAGAGGGUUGCCAACCCGCGAGGGGGAGCCAAUCUCAGAAAGCCGAUCGUAGUCCGGAUUGGAGUCUGCAACUCGACUCCAUGAAGUCGGAAUCGUUAGUAAUCGCGGAUCAGCAUAUCGCGGUGAAUACGUUCCCGGGUCUUGUACACACCGCCCGUCACACCAUGGGAGUGGAAUCUGGCAGAAGUAGGUAGCCUAACCGCAAGGAGGGCGCUUACCACGCUGGGUUUCAUGACUGGGGUGAAGUCGUAACAAGGUAACCGUA
RNAcentral lists this ribosomal RNA (652 nucleotides) under uncultured bacterium. RNAcentral describes it as "bacterial SSU rRNA". It matches the Rfam family "Bacterial small subunit ribosomal RNA", at positions 853 to 1504 of the family's 1533-position model. The record is from RNAcentral.